CAGGGAUUGCCUCAGUAACGGCGAGUGAAGCGGCAAUAGCUCAAAUUUGAAAGCUGGCUCCUUCGGGGCCCGCGUUGUAAUUUGUAGAGGAUGUUUCGGGCGCGGCGCCGGUCUAAGUUCUUUGGAACAAGACGUCAUAGAGGGUGAGAAUCCCGUAUGUGACUGGUGGCCUGUGCCCAUGUGAAACUCCUUCGACGAGUCGAGUUGUUUGGGAAUGCAGCUCAAAAUGGGAGGUGUAUUUCUUCUAAAGCUAAAUAUUGGCCAGAGACCGAUAGCGCACAAGUAGAGUGAUCGAAAGAUGAAAAGCACUUUGGAAAGAGAGUUAAACAGUACGUGAAAUUGUUGAAAGGGAAGCGCUUGCAAUCAGACUUGCGCGGCGUCGAUCAACCUGGGUUCUCCCUGGUGCACUCGGCGUCGCUCAGGCCAGCAUCAGUUUCGGCGGUGGGAUAAAGGCCUGGGGAACGUGAGUCGCUUCGGCGACUGUUAUAGCCCUAGGUGCAAUGCUGCCUGCCGGGACUGAGGACCGCGCUUCGGCUAGGAUGCUGGCGUAAUGGUUGUAAGCGACCCGUCUUGAAACACGGACCAAGGAGUCGUGCUAUUAUGCGAGUGUUUGGGUGUUAAACCCAUACGCGGAAUGAAAGUGAACGGAGGUGAGAACCCUUAAGGGUGCAUCAUCGACCGAUCCUGAUGUCUUCGGAUGGAUUUGAGUAAGAGCAUAAUGGCCCGGACCCGAAAGAUGGUAAAGUUCAGCCAUCGAGAACAGUGUUCGUUACGCUGUUAGUCGGCGUUGACGCCGGCGACACGCCCAAGGUGCGGCAAGGGCCUGGAAUUUCCAGGUCAAUCCGCAGCCCGCCUCUCUGGAGGUGGGUUCAGAGACUCAAUAGGCGUGGGUCUGGCUUCGGCCAGGCUUGAGAUAGAGCCCAGCCCAGCUGGCAAUCGCUGGGGGCAACUGGAACUAUGCCUGAAUAGGGUGAAGCCAGGGGAAACCCUGGUGGAGGCUCGCAGAGGUUCUGACGUGCAAAUCGAUCUUCAAAUUUGGGUAUAGGGGCGAAAGACUAAUCGAACCAUUGGAAAACCUACCUUCUAGGUGGUUGAGAGGCCCUCCGCGGAGGGUCUAGUCGCCUCGGCGGCAAUACUGCAAAAUUGCGGGGACAGCUCUACAGACGCAGGCUACCACAGCGGGCACGAAAGUGCUCGCCACGGUUACAAGGCCCGGCGACUGAGCCGAUUCGCAACCCCGCGCCUACCGUCUCACGACCACGGCGCAGGGCUCAUCGACUAGAUGGCAGUAGGCACGCUCGCGUGUCUAAGGUAUAGUCAGACCGCGGCGGACGUACGCUGCGGGCUACG
RNAcentral lists this ribosomal RNA (1350 nucleotides) under Hypoderma obtectum. RNAcentral describes it as "eukaryotic LSU rRNA". It matches the Rfam family "Eukaryotic large subunit ribosomal RNA", at positions 69 to 1444 of the family's 3401-position model. Lineage: Eukaryota; Fungi; Ascomycota; Leotiomycetes; Rhytismatales; Rhytismataceae. The record is from RNAcentral.